RNAcentral lists this non-coding RNA (21 nucleotides) under Caenorhabditis elegans. The record is from RNAcentral. Lineage: Eukaryota; Metazoa; Nematoda; Chromadorea; Rhabditida; Rhabditidae.
UAGAGAAGUAGAAGUCAUUUG